UACGAAGGAUGCAAGCGUUACUCGGAAUUACUGGGCGUAAGCGUGCGUAGGUGGUUUGUUAAGUCUGUUGUGAAAGCCCCGGGCUCAACCUGGGAAUGGCAAUGGAUACUGGCAGGCUAGAGUGCGGUAGAGGGUAGUGGAAUUCCUGGUGUAGCGGUGAAAUGCGCAGAUAUCAGGAGGAACACCGAUGGCGAAGGCAGUGGGCUGGGCCGGCACUGACGCUGAGGAGCGAAAGCGUGGGGAGCGAACAGG
RNAcentral lists this ribosomal RNA (252 nucleotides) under uncultured bacterium. RNAcentral's name for it is "partial 16S ribosomal RNA". It matches the Rfam family "Bacterial small subunit ribosomal RNA", at positions 524 to 776 of the family's 1533-position model. The record is from RNAcentral.